AUACGGAGGAUGCAGCCGUUAUCCCGAUUCACCUAGGUUUAAAGGGCGCGUAGACGGAAUAAUAAGUCAGUGGUGAAAUCUUGCGGCUCAACCGUAAAAUUGCCAUUGAUACUGUUAUUCUUGAGUAUGGUUGAGGUAGGCGGAAUGAGUAAUGUAGCGGUGAAAUGCUUAGAUAUUACUCAGAACACCGAUUGCGUAGGCAGCUUACCAAGCCAUCACUGACGCUGAGGCACGAAAGCGUGGGUAGCAAACAGGAUUAGAUACCCUGGUAGUCCACGCCGUAAACGUUGAUUACUCGUUGUUGGCAAUACACCGUCAGCGACUGAGCAAAAGCAUUAAGUAAUCCACCUGGGGAGUACGUCAGCAAUGAUGAAACUCAAAGGAAUUGACGGGGGCCCGCACAAGCGGAGGAACAUGUGGUUUAAUUCGAUGAUACGCGAGGAACCUUACCUGGGCUUAAAUGUUUAGUGAUCGACCGGGAGACCGGUUUUUCCUUCGGGACACUUUACAAGGUGCUGCAUGGUUGUCGUCAGCUCGUGCCGUGAGGUGUCGGGUUAAGUCCCAUAACGAGCGCAACCCCUAUCGCCAGUUGCCAGCACAUAAUGGUGGGAACUCUGGUGAAACUGCCGGUGCAAACCGUGAGGAAGGUGGGGAUGACGUCAAAUCAGCACGGCCCUUAUGUCCAGGGCUACACACGUGUUACAAUGGUCGGUACAACAGGAUGCCAAUCCGCAAGGAUGAGCUAAUCCCAAAAGCCGAUCUUAGUUCGGAUCGGAGUCUGCAAUUCGACUCCGUGAA
This 798-nucleotide ribosomal RNA is filed under the name uncultured organism. RNAcentral describes it as "bacterial SSU rRNA". It matches the Rfam family "Bacterial small subunit ribosomal RNA", at positions 523 to 1324 of the family's 1533-position model. The record is from RNAcentral.